AAGUGUCACUGUGACUUAGACUAUUUGUGAUUCUUUGAAACGAGAUCUAUUUCAAACACAAUGGUCUGACAUCCCAGUCCGGCUGGAUAACAUGUGCUCCCAGCCCCCCACCCCUCCAUCAGAUGGCGUCUCCAAGUUUGAAUUCAGUUUCCUGGACUUGAAGGGGAAGGCGACGAACACCGUAGAGACGGGUCCUGUAAUAGGUGCUGCUGCAGGAUGCAGGGGAGGUACUGCUGAAGACACAGCAGGAAGCCCCCGUGCCCUUGGGGAAGGGAGAGACUGGGCCCCCCAGGACCGAGGAGGAGGGACUGAUUCUGUGUGGGCCCCGAAGGCAGAAGAGAAAUCCCCAGGUGGGAAUAGGGGAGGGAGGAGAGUAUCAGGCAGAGAGCGUCAUGACUCAAAGCUCGGAGGUGGGAAACCUGGAGGUGUUCAAAGAACAGCAGGUGUCAGGUGGAGCUGCAGAGCAAAGUCUGGACGGUCUGCUCAGGUGUCUGCAGAUAAAUUGCAUCCUCUCCAGGGUGCAACCACCAUGAUCUCAGCAGACUGAUGAUGGAAGAGAAGGAACCUGGGAGAUCCUGUGCUCCAGUUUCCCUGGACGAUGGAGGGAGGACAGCCCGUCCCUUCACCUCUGGUGCCCCUUGGGAACGUGUCGUCAGAUUCUAGCAUGUCUCUGGAGCAGAAAACCACGUUUGUUUUUGUGAUUUUGUUGUUUAUUUUCUUGGGCAUCCUCAUCGUGAGGUGCUUCCGGAUUCUUCUGGACCCGUAUCGGAGCAUGCCGACUUCGACCUGGGCCGACGGACUUGAAGGCCUGGAGAAAGGGCAGUUUGACCAUGCCCUUGCCUAGCGGGACAGGAGCAGGUGCUGCUUCUGAGGAGGAGAAGUGAUUCAUGUCUUCACGAGGGAUUCUCUUCCAUCAACAUUCUCAGCAACUCAAGUUUUAACCAUAUCUGGUUCUAGGACCACAAUCCAUUUAUUUGGUAGACAUUUAAGGAUAUUGGAAAUGGAGAUUUCUAUUACUAACUGAAAUAGGAAAGUUUGAAUUUCUAUAUUUACUCAAUGAAUGAAUGUUGUUGAAAGCAUGUGAUGGUGAAACCAAGAGCAUCAAUAGUGACUUUGCCUAAAAUGAAGCACUGUCAGACCUGACCAGAGUAUAAGGAUCAGAAAGGAUUUGAUCUGAAUCUGAUGACAGGACCAAGAAGAGGCUUCCUCACUCUAAUUCUGUCACCCAGUUUUGUUCUAUUUUCAUGGCAAUCUGGGUGCUGGGCAGAGAAUGAGGAAGAUUGUGCUGAGUGGCCUCAGCACAGGUACUUGUCUUCUCCUACAGCAGAGAGCACUGGGAGGCAAUGGGAGGGCUUCAAAGAGGGGGUUCUAUCCCUGGAAAGUAUGAGUGAGGAUGAUAUCACUUUAUUUUUCAAAUAAAACUGAUUUCAAAAGCUUACAAAGGUUUUAAAACUAUUUACCAGGCCAAGUGCAUUCUAGGUAUUCAUAUUAGUAACAUGUGUAGAGGUAGCUAUGCAUAAUGUUGAAUUUACUGUCUUUGCACAAUUGAUUGAAAUAAUAGGUUGCAAAUGCUGCUUCAAGUUGUUUUGUUCCAAAUAAAAAGUUAAUUGUUUAGAGAGGACUUUUACAGUCUUCAGAGGAAUGUGUGUAUAUGGCUGAAUACAGAAACUAAAUAAAACUGUUCAAGAUACAGAAGUGUCUCCUCUCUUAUUCCAGCACUCUGGAGGCAGUGUGUUGUACCUCUGUUCCGAGAAGGAGAAAAAGAGCAAAGACCAUGAAAAGUCAUCUAAUUCAUUCCUCUCCCCUUUCAGGAAGGGCUCCCACAAAUUGUCCUGACCCAUGAGACCUAUUUUGAGCACUGUUUUAAGUCCACCAAAAGAAGAGAUGUGAAAACCUCUUAUUCCAACUUCUGUAUUAAUAGGAACAAACUUGCACCUAAACUAAACUCCUCAAGUUGUAUUUAUAGUCUGUAUCAUCUAAUUUUCU
RNAcentral lists this long non-coding RNA (1986 nucleotides) under Camelus dromedarius (Arabian camel). RNAcentral's name for it is "lncRNA (ENSCDRG00005003269.1)". The record is from RNAcentral. Lineage: Eukaryota; Metazoa; Chordata; Mammalia; Artiodactyla; Camelidae.